Molecule: ribosomal RNA, 490 nt
Filed under: uncultured bacterium
Lineage: Bacteria
Description: partial 16S ribosomal RNA
Rfam family: Bacterial small subunit ribosomal RNA
Source: RNAcentral
AUUGAACGCUGGCGGCAGGCCUAACACAUGCAAGUCGAACGGUAACAGGAAACAGCUUGCUGUUUCGCUGACGAGUGGCGGACGGGUGAGUAAUGUCUGGGAAACUGCCUGAUGGAGGGGGAUAACUACAGGAAACGGUAGCUAAUACCGCAUAACGUCGCAAGACCAAAGAGGGGGACCUUCGGGCCUCUUGCCAUCGGAUGUGCCCAGAUGGGAUUAGCUAGUAGGUGGGGUAACGGCUCACCUAGGCGACGAUCCCUAGCUGGUCUGAGAGGAUGACCAGCCACACUGGAACUGAGACACGGUCCAGACUCCUACGGGAGGCAGCAGUGGGGAAUAUUGCACAAUGGGCGCAAGCCUGAUGCAGCCAUGCCGCGUGUAUGAAGAAGGCCUUCGGGUUGUAAAGUACUUUCAGCGGGGAGGAAGGGAGUAAAGUUAAUACCUUUACUCAUUGACGUUACCCGCAGAAGAAGCACCGGCUAACUCCGUG